Peromyscus maniculatus bairdii (prairie deer mouse) is the source of this 1087-nucleotide non-coding RNA. The record is from RefSeq and is a predicted model, not a curated record. NCBI's taxonomy places the organism in Eukaryota, Metazoa, Chordata, Mammalia, Rodentia, Cricetidae.
CAUUUGCCUGCUUUCCCUCCCCCUGAUGACGCCCACGGAGCUGUAAUCUUCUCACUUCCCUUUUUCUAUUACCACCUCACCUGGCCUUUGCUCCCUCUCUUUUCUGCUACACAUGGCAUGUCUCUGGGUGCCCUUUGUCCUCGCGUUCUGAUUUUAUGAGAAGUGUUUAUUUCCAUGUUUUCGGUAUUUGCCGGGAUGUAUUCUCACCGAGCUGAUGGCGAAGCCCUUCUCUCUCAGCGGGAAGCUGCUGCUCACGGCAAUUACGCCUGCUGUCUCCCUUUUCAUUUUCCUUCAGCUCGUGAGGAAAUUGUGCUUCCAGAAACCCCAUGAAUUCUUUCUGAAACUCUUACGUAACCCAGUGUGUUCAGCCAUUUCUUUUCCAUCCAUAUAUUUUUUAUGUUUGGCUGGGCAUUUGGGCUCAUUUCCCCUCCAGAUAAUUUGGUGGUGAUUUGAUCUAAAGUUCCUCUCAGUCUGUUGAUGAUCUCCGCCAUCCCUGUGGGUGGCUUCCGUGGCCAUCAGACUCGGCUGAUACUUGAAUCAUCUGCUGCAGAGAGAGUCUACCCUGCCAGUUUUGUUCUUUCUGGCAGCCCAAAGAAAAAUCCGCCUACACAGAAACAGAUGUGAGAAUCCAGGAAUCCAGGUCAUACUGCCCAUAGUUUAGAAAUGGGUGUGAAGGCCCAUCUGCACCAUACAAGGGAGUCAUUGAAAUGGAAGUCGAACUCCUGGCUUCUGCCCUCGAGGAAAGAUGGCCACUGUCCCUGCUGUCACAUGUGAGUUGGGAUUCUCCAAGGAACAGCACCAAUAAGAAGGGAUUUACCAGGUUGGCUCACAUGAUCAGAAGCUGAGGAUGACCCACAGUGGCUGGCUGUAGGCUGAAGGAGAGCCAGGAAUGCUCAGUGGAAAAAGCUAGACACCCCAGAACAAGAGGAAACAAAGAUGUCGCCCCAGUUGGAGGCUCUGGUGAGGCACCGGUGGGUGGGCUUUUCAAUGGCUGAUGUUCUGGGGGUGCUGUGUCCUGUCACAGGAGCAGGCCUGCACUCUGGAGGUGCUGUGUCCUUCCACAGGAGCAGGCCUGCACUCUGGGGGU